This 47-nucleotide ribosomal RNA is filed under the name Parmelina tiliacea. RNAcentral's name for it is "partial 28S ribosomal RNA". The record is from RNAcentral. Lineage: Eukaryota; Fungi; Ascomycota; Lecanoromycetes; Lecanorales; Parmeliaceae.
UUGACCUCGGAUCAGGUAGGGAUACCCGCUGAACUAAGCAAUCAUAG